This 211-nucleotide ribosomal RNA is filed under the name Agastache rugosa. RNAcentral's name for it is "5.8S ribosomal RNA". The stretch from base 1 to 106 matches the Rfam family "5.8S ribosomal RNA", at positions 51 to 154 of the family's 154-position model. Rfam says of the family: 5.8S ribosomal RNA (5.8S rRNA) is a component of the large subunit of the eukaryotic ribosome. It is transcribed by RNA polymerase I as part of the 45S precursor that also contains 18S and 28S rRNA. Functionally, it is thought that 5.8S rRNA may be involved in ribosome translocation. The record is from RNAcentral. Lineage: Eukaryota; Viridiplantae; Streptophyta; Magnoliopsida; Lamiales; Lamiaceae.
AAAUGCGAUACUUGGUGUGAAUUGCAGAAUCCCGUGAACCAUCGAGUCUUUGAACGCAAGUUGCGCCCGAAGCCAUUAGGCCGAGGGCACGUCUGCCUGGGCGUCACGCAUCGCGUCGCCCCCCUCCCCGCGCACAGCGCGGCCGAGGUGGGGCGGAUAUUGGCCCCCCGUGUGCCCCGGCACGCGGUCGGCCCAAAUGCGAUCCCUCGGC